RNAcentral lists this ribosomal RNA (292 nucleotides) under uncultured bacterium. RNAcentral describes it as "partial 16S ribosomal RNA". It matches the Rfam family "Bacterial small subunit ribosomal RNA", at positions 505 to 796 of the family's 1533-position model. The record is from RNAcentral.
GUGCCAGCAGCCGCGGUAAUACGGAGGGAGCUAGCGUUGUUCGGAAUUACUGGGCGUAAAGCGCACGUAGGCGGCUUUGCAAGUUAGAGGUGAAAGCCCGGGGCUCAACUCCGGAACUGCCUUUAAAACUGCAUCGCUUGAAUCCAGGAGAGGUGAGUGGAAUUCCGAGUGUAGAGGUGAAAUUCGUAGAUAUUCGGAAGAACACCAGUGGCGAAGGCGGCUCACUGGACUGGUAUUGACGCUGAGGUGCGAGAGCGUGGGGAGCAAACAGGAUUAGAUACCCGUGUAGUCC